This 731-nucleotide ribosomal RNA is filed under the name uncultured bacterium. RNAcentral describes it as "bacterial SSU rRNA". It matches the Rfam family "Bacterial small subunit ribosomal RNA", at positions 771 to 1501 of the family's 1533-position model. The record is from RNAcentral.
AACAGGAUUAGAUACCCUGGUAGUCCACGCUGUAAACGAUGUCGACUUGGAGGUUGUGCCCUUGAGGCGUGGCUUCCGGAGCUAACGCGUUAAGUCGACCGCCUGGGGAGUACGGCCGCAAGGUUAAAACUCAAAUGAAUUGACGGGGGCCCGCACAAGCGGUGGAGCAUGUGGUUUAAUUCGAUGCAACGCGAAGAACCUUACCUACUCUUGACAUCCAGAGAAUUUGCUAGAGAUAGCUUAGUGCCUUCGGGAACUCUGAGACAGGUGCUGCAUGGCUGUCGUCAGCUCGUGUUGUGAAAUGUUGGGUUAAGUCCCGCAACGAGCGCAACCCUUAUCCUUUGUUGCCAGCGAGUAAUGUCGGGAACUCAAAGGAGACUGCCGGUGAUAAACCGGAGGAAGGUGGGGAUGACGUCAAGUCAUCAUGGCCCUUACGAGUAGGGCUACACACGUGCUACAAUGGCAUAUACAAAGAGAAGCGAACUCGCGAGAGCAAGCGGACCUCAUAAAGUAUGUCGUAGUCCGGAUUGGAGUCUGCAACUCGACUCCAUGAAGUCGGAAUCGCUAGUAAUCGUAGAUCAGAAUGCUACGGUGAAUACGUUCCCGGGCCUUGUACACACCGCCCGUCACACCAUGGGAGUGGGUUGCAAAAGAAUUAGGUAGCUUAACCUUCGGGAGGGCGCUUACCACUUUGUGAUUCAUGACUGGGGUGAAGUCGUAACAAGGUAACC